RNAcentral lists this RNase P RNA (373 nucleotides) under Chitinophaga japonensis. Its description in RNAcentral is "Bacterial RNase P class A". It matches the Rfam family "Bacterial RNase P class A". Rfam says of the family: Ribonuclease P (RNase P) is a ubiquitous endoribonuclease, found in archaea, bacteria and eukarya as well as chloroplasts and mitochondria. Its best characterised activity is the generation of mature 5'-ends of tRNAs by cleaving the 5'-leader elements of precursor-tRNAs. The record is from Rfam by way of RNAcentral. Lineage: Bacteria; Pseudomonadati; Bacteroidota; Chitinophagia; Chitinophagales; Chitinophagaceae.
ACUACAAACCGUGCUAUCGUCUUGGCCCCGUGCCAGGAAGGAAAGUCCGGACAGCAUAGAGCAACGCACCACCUAACGGGUGGGAUGUGCGGGUGCAAGGCCCGCGCAGACAGAAAGUGCCACAGAAAAUAACCGCCGGCCCCCGGGCAGGUAAGGGUGAAAAUGUGGGGUAAGGGCCCACGUCGCGGUGUGGUAACACGCCGGGAGGGUAAACCUUGCGUGCUGAAAUGCCAUGUAUACGGUCGUUUGAGGGCUGCUCGCCCGAUGACCGAGGGUAGGCAGAUACAGGCGGCGUGCGAGCGCCGUCGCAGAUAAAUGAUAGCAGCCCGCCCCCGGGCGGGAACAGAAUCCGGCUUACAGGUUUGUAGUUUUU